GCGCUCGUUGUCUAGCGGUUAGGAUAUCGGCCUUCCAAGCCGGUGACCCGGGUUCGAAUGGCAUGGUCAUGUAGCUAUGCCCGAACAUCCCGGUGAGCGCA
RNAcentral lists this transfer RNA (101 nucleotides) under Promethearchaeota archaeon. Its description in RNAcentral is "Candidatus Lokiarchaeota archaeon (anaerobic digester metagenome) tRNA-Gly". It matches the Rfam family "tRNA". Rfam says of the family: Transfer RNA (tRNA) molecules are approximately 80 nucleotides in length. Their secondary structure includes four short double-helical elements and three loops (D, anti-codon, and T loops). Lineage: Archaea; Promethearchaeati; Promethearchaeota. The record is from RNAcentral.